GUGUGUAGUUAAGCUGCGCAUCUUGACGUUUUUAACAAAAGAAGCACCGGCUAACUCCGUGCCACCAGCCGCGGUAAUACGGAGGGUGCGAGCGUUAAUCGGAAUUACUGGGCGUAAAGCGCAUGCAGGUGGUUCAUUAAGUCAGAUGUGAAACCCCGGGGCUCAACCUCGGAACUGCAUUUGAAACUGGUGAACUAGAGUGCUGUAGAGGGGGGUAGAAUUUCAGGUGUAGCGGUGAAAUGCGUAGAGAUCUGAAGGAAUACCAGUGGCUAAGGCGGCCCCCUGGACAGACACUGACACUCAGAUGCGAAAGCGUGGGGAGCAAACAGGAUUAGAUACCCUGGUAGUCCACACCGUAAACGAUGUAUACUUGGAGGCUGUGGCCUUGAUCCGUGGCUUUCCGAGCU
RNAcentral lists this ribosomal RNA (407 nucleotides) under uncultured marine bacterium. RNAcentral's name for it is "bacterial SSU rRNA". It matches the Rfam family "Bacterial small subunit ribosomal RNA", at positions 451 to 853 of the family's 1533-position model. The record is from RNAcentral.